Physella acuta is the source of this 283-nucleotide long non-coding RNA. RefSeq lists it as uncharacterized. The record is from RefSeq and is a predicted model, not a curated record. NCBI's taxonomy places the organism in Eukaryota, Metazoa, Mollusca, Gastropoda, Physidae.
CACGAAGUUGGUCUGGGUCGAUGCACUGGGUGUGUGGCUCGCACCUAGCCAGCACAAAUCAGGAGGAGACAAUGAAUACUUUUCAAUUAACGCUCCUGUUUUGCAACCACACAAAGUUAUAAAUGAGAAACGGGCUCCUGUAGCCCGACCCACAGGACGUCGCCAUGACAGACCAAGUGGACCCACCCACCACCUCCCACGCUUACACCCCACCCACAAUCCCACCGCCAGCUCGCUGACAAGACUCUACACGCAUCUCUCCACUCCUGCAAGACUGCUCGAA